RNAcentral lists this ribosomal RNA (442 nucleotides) under uncultured bacterium. RNAcentral's name for it is "partial 16S ribosomal RNA". It matches the Rfam family "Bacterial small subunit ribosomal RNA", at positions 338 to 795 of the family's 1533-position model. The record is from RNAcentral.
CCUACGGGAGGCAGCAGUGGGGAAUAUUGGGCAAUGGACGCAAGUCUGACCCAGCAACGCCGCGUGAAGGAAGAAGGCUUUCGGGUUGUAAACUUCUUUUAAGGGGGAAGAGCAGAAGACGGUACCCCUUGAAUAAGCCACGGCUAACUACGUGCCAGCAGCCGCGGUAAUACGUAGGGAGCAAGCGUUGUCCGGAUUUACUGGGUGUAAAGGGUGCGUAGGCGGUCUUGCAAGUCAGACGUGAAAACCACAGGCUCAACCUGUGGACUGCGUUUGAAACUGUGGGGCUUGAGUGAAGUAGAGGUAGGCGGAAUUCCCGGUGUAGCGGUGAAAUGCGUAGAGAUCGGGAGGAACACCAGUGGCGAAGGCGGCCUACUGGGCUUUAACUGACGCUGAGGCACGAAAGCAUGGGUAGCAAACAGGAUUAGAUACCCGAGUAGUC